Molecule: unclassified non-coding RNA, 246 nt
Filed under: Hevea brasiliensis (rubber tree)
Lineage: Eukaryota; Viridiplantae; Streptophyta; Magnoliopsida; Malpighiales; Euphorbiaceae
Source: RNAcentral
UAUCAUUGACGAGAUUGUGCAAAUAAUUAACCUAUCGAUCACAAGCAAUGUUCUUUGAUAAGAAGCAAACAUCCAAUAUUAUAGAGCUGCAGCUUUCUAGCUCUACAUUUACAAUACAAUUAUUCCGGGCUGCUGGGAGCAUUGACUUGCACUAUCUAAGGUUCUUACGCACUUCCCAAACCAGUUAAGUGCUGCUAGGUGUAGCUUCUUUUAUAUUCUCCUGUUCUGAGUUGACCUCCACCCUUG